This 301-nucleotide ribosomal RNA is filed under the name uncultured bacterium. RNAcentral's name for it is "partial 16S ribosomal RNA". It matches the Rfam family "Bacterial small subunit ribosomal RNA", at positions 509 to 807 of the family's 1533-position model. The record is from RNAcentral.
CAGCAGCCGCGGUAAGACAGAGGAUGCAAGCGUUAUCCGGAAUGAUUGGGCGUAAAGCGUCUGUAGGUGGCUUUUCAAGUCCGCCGUCAAAUCCCAGGGCUCAACCCUGGACAGGCGGUGGAAACUACCAAGCUGGAGUACGGUAGGGGCAGAGGGAAUUUCCAGUGGAGCGGUGAAAUGCGUUGAGAUCGGAAAGAACACCAACAGCGAAAGCACUCUGCUGGGACGACACUGACACUAAGAGACGAAAGCUAGGGGAGCAAAUGGGAUUAGAUACCCGGGUAGUCCCUGUCUCUUAUAC